Molecule: long non-coding RNA, 1205 nt
Organism: Quercus robur (English oak)
Lineage: Eukaryota; Viridiplantae; Streptophyta; Magnoliopsida; Fagales; Fagaceae
Exons: 3
Source: RefSeq, a predicted model, not a curated record
UCUCUUUUCUUUUUCAUUUUCACACAAAUAAAAACACUUCUCUCUUACACUCCCUCACUUUCCCACCAACACCCCACUCCUCACCACCUCCACCAUCUUUUCCGGAAGUUUACCGGAAAACCCCAUAGUAAUAAGCCAAGGUUCACACAUCUAUAUUAUUUGAGGUUCUAGCCAAUCUCCUUUGGAGCUUGGAAAAGUAGGUUUUUUGCGGGUUGCAAGCCAAGUUGGAGGCUCCCACUUUGCAUGAAACGGGUUAAUCCUUGAGUGUGUGGAUGAGGCUACUACCCAUUGGGCCAAAAGACCACAUGCAAAAGAGGUACUGUGUGACACGUCAUUCCCUGCUACCCAUGGGGAGAAAAGGUAAAUCCUUGAGUGUGUGGGUAAGGCUAGGCAGGACCAAGAGACCAUAUGCAAAAGAGGUACUACAUGGCGCGUUAUCCCCUGCUACCCAUGGGGGGAUAGGUAAAUCCUUGAAAGUGUGGGUGAGGCUAGGUAGGACCAAUAGACCACAUGCAAAAAGAGGUACAUAUCAUGCUAGUGUGUUUGGGUUCCGACCUAUUUGUGGCGGUAUGAUGUCUUUGUGACAUUUCCAUCUUUAUGGCACCUUGGGUGAGGUUUUUGGUUUUGAAAUAAUAUUGGAUAUUUUCUAGCUCACAACAAAUAAUAUGUAGUUUUAUAGUUAUUUUGGGAAGCUUGAUACUAAAUUAUUUCUAUCAUUCUUGACAUGUUGUUAAUGAAAUUUAUUUUGCAUAAUUUAAAUAGAGAUUCCCAAAUUAUAGCAUGUUUUGUAAAAUGAUUAUUAUCAUGAAACUUGCAUUUCCCUAAUUAUGCUACUUACUAGGCUUUAACUCAUCCCACCCUCUAACAGUUUUUCAGAUUAAUUAGUUAUACCUUCGAUAUGGAGCUUACUUCAUUGGUGAUGAUUGGAGUGCUACGUUAAAUUUGGAGACUUCUGCUAUAAAUUGUUGGUGACUUGAUCUUGCUAUGUUCAACGAGGCCUUAAUUAAUUUUAUUAGAGGUUGGUCGCUUGAGGUUUGUUAGCCUUAGGCAUGGUAGGCCUAGAAUCGAUGUUAAGGUUCCUUAUUCUUGGUAAGAUUGUGAGUUUGUGUAAUCCAAUUAGAGUUUUGCAAUAUAUUCAUGUAUUAUGCGGAGGCACAUGAUUUUUUAUUAUUGUCCAUAAAUGUGUUAUAGAGCUCUAACUUGUA